AGUGAACGCUGGCGGUAGGCCUAACACAUGCAAGUCGAACGGCAGCACAGUAAGAGCUUGCUCUUACGGGUGGCGAGUGGCGGACGGGUGAGGAAUACAUCGGAAUCUACUUUUUCGUGGGGGAUAACGUAGGGAAACUUACGCUAAUACCGCAUACGACCUACGGGUGAAAGCAGGGGAUCUUCGGACCUUGCGCGAUUGAAUGAGCCGAUGUCGGAUUAGCUAGUUGGCGGGGUAAAGGCCCACCAAGGCGACGAUCCGUAGCUGGUCUGAGAGGAUGAUCAGCCACACUGGAACUGAGACACGGUCCAGACUCCUACGGGAGGCAGCAGUGGGGAAUAUUGGACAAUGGGCGCAAGCCUGAUUCAGCCAUACCGCGUGGGUGAAGAAGGCCUUCGGGUUGUAAAGCCCUUUUGUUGGGAAAGAAAAGCAGCAGGUUAAUACCCCGCUGUUCUGACGGUACCCAAAGAAUAAGCACCGGCUAACUUCGU
Molecule: ribosomal RNA, 491 nt
Filed under: uncultured bacterium
Lineage: Bacteria
Description: partial 16S ribosomal RNA
Rfam family: Bacterial small subunit ribosomal RNA
Source: RNAcentral